RNAcentral lists this ribosomal RNA (465 nucleotides) under Vreelandella stevensii. Its description in RNAcentral is "partial 16S ribosomal RNA". It matches the Rfam family "Bacterial small subunit ribosomal RNA", at positions 338 to 795 of the family's 1533-position model. The record is from RNAcentral. Lineage: Bacteria; Pseudomonadati; Pseudomonadota; Gammaproteobacteria; Oceanospirillales; Halomonadaceae.
CCUACGGGUGGCAGCAGUGGGGAAUAUUGGACAAUGGGCGAAAGCCUGAUCCAGCCAUGCCGCGUGUGUGAAGAAGGCCUUCGGGUUGUAAAGCACUUUCAGUGGGGAAGAAAGCCUUGGGGCUAAUACCCUCGAGGAAGGACAUCACCCACAGAAGAAGCACCGGCUAACUCCGUGCCAGCAGCCGCGGUAAUACGGAGGGUGCGAGCGUUAAUCGGAAUUACUGGGCGUAAAGCGCGCGUAGGCGGUCUGAUAAGCCGGUUGUGAAAGCCCCGGGCUCAACCUGGGAACGGCAUCCGGAACUGUCAGGCUAGAGUGCAGGAGAGGAAGGUAGAAUUCCCGGUGUAGCGGUGAAAUGCGUAGAGAUCGGGAGGAAUACCAGUGGCGAAGGCGGCCUUCAGGACUGACACUGACGCUGAGGUGCGAAAGCGUGGGUAGCAAACAGGAUUAGAUACCCCGGUAGUC